CAUACAAGCAAAUUUGCACUCGGUGCCCUCCCUAGUCUGUACCAAAUCCUUACACACCGACGACACAGGAUCGAAAAUUUCUCGGCGGCGGCGGCGACGGCGACGACCAAGAUCCUGAGACAAGCUGGGCGGGCUCGCGCAGCAAAGAUGCUGAUCCAUCUCCUCUCCGAUGGCUUCUAGGUUCUAGCCGUUUCGUCGCAGGUGGCGCAGUUUGAGGUAGAUUAGAUCGGAUUCCUCACCUCCUCCCCACUCUCAGGCUCCCAGAUCAGCUCGCGGCCGUCCUCCUCCACCCCCACCCCCUCUCGCGAUUCAGCACUAGCUCAACGCUCGUGGAUCCUCGCCUCCUUCCCAGCCGGCCGCUCUCUGGUUCUGCGAACAGGCCGCCACGGUUCUUCGUUCUGCAGUUGCUGGAGUAGUAACAGCAGAAGAAUGAACAACAGCUUGAGUAGAAUAGAAGCAGAUCCGUUCUGGUGAUGCUUAUGUUGGUUGGAUUCUUAUUUUAUCCAGAAGCAGCAUGUUGAUUAGUGCUAUGACUUAGUUAUGGUAUUGUGUAUUGCUACCAGAAGCAGCACGUGUACCGACUGUACAUAAACGCUAACCGAUUUCUAGCAUGAAGCAAUACACUAGCAAAUCUAGCUAUUCCGGCGAGAUGCACUAGUAUAGGAAGUAGGCUGCUCUGGCUUCGUCGAUUCUUCAGCGGCAAGCCGACACGCACACACGAUCCAGUAAUGGAGGGUAGCAGUGCGAUGUCUCCGCUAGGAGAGCCCUCAAUUCCAAUGAUCGCAGCAUGUGCACCAGCACUAUCAUGUGUGAGAAUAGCGGUACGAGGAAGUCAAGAUAUCCUGAUGUAUCUAAAUUAUGUUAAUCCCUUGUGUGAUGUUGGUUGAUAAAGAAAUUGUUUGCAGCCAUGGAAUCGGUCAACAGUGUUCAAAAUCAAGGAUGUGUGUAUGUGAUUUAGUACUAAUCCUUCAUCCAUGGCAUGAGCCUAUCUGGCAUCUUGUUCAUUUAUAUUUUCCCGUGCUGCUGUGGUUUUCUUAUUAUUACAAGGUAUAAUAUAAUGCAUGCCAUCAAGUUUUGUUUAUAGCUAUCAAAUUUGAAUAAUAAUUUGCAUCUGCAGGGCAUUCAUAAAACUCCCUUUAAAUUGUUCAAUGCCACUUAUUUGUCGUUCUCAUUUGUGCUUUUAACUAAUCUUGGAAUUAUAAUCCAUUUAUUGUAGGUCUAUAAUGAAAUAAUGAACUAUGCUGCAACAAAAAAUUUGUACUCUCUCUGUUAGACAUAUCCAACUAUCACAUGCCAUUUUAUUUUAUUUGGAAAAUCCCCUGUAGAAGCUGGAAAGCCAGCUUGACCUACAAAGUUAUCCUGAUUGGUUACAUAUGUUUGAGGUUCAACCUAAGUUUUGACAUAGUAUAAGUUAUGUUUCCUAGGUUGGAGUGCUGAAAGAAGCUGGACAUAUAUAAUGAUUAUUUCUCUUCUCAAGAUAUGCUAUUUGGUAUAUGUUUUUGACUGACCCCUAUUUACUUGGUAUAUGUUUCUGACUGACCCCUAUUUACUUGGUGUGUUUACCUAGGUAGAUCGAACUGAUCAAGUGUCCAUGGAGGUUGUCAUCUCUCUCCCAGCAGGAGGCUCGAUUGCCAGGAAGCACUAACACGAGGCAAAAUGAUAGAUAUUUUCGUUCUUGUACCAGCAAGAUGCUUGUUGGGCGAUGAUAAUUUCAGUCUUUACCACUUGGUCUUGCCGGCCAUAUACUAAAAAUGAUCUGUAUGCCACAUGUACUCAAGUACUCAAAUGCUUGCUAAGCACUGAUAAUUCCAGUCCUUAAUUUGCUCUACUUCCAGUUCUACUAGCCUUUUGUGAUGUGUUCUCAUGUACUCGAGUACUGAAAUGCUUGCCGAGCAGCUAUCAAUCCUUAAAUUGCUAUAUUUCCAGUUUGA
Triticum urartu is the source of this 1931-nucleotide non-coding RNA. The record is from RefSeq and is a predicted model, not a curated record. Lineage: Eukaryota; Viridiplantae; Streptophyta; Magnoliopsida; Poales; Poaceae.